UCUAAAAAAUUGAAAAUUACUCAAACAAACUAAUAAAUAUAAGAAUACUCUAUCAUGUUUAGUAAAUAUUGAAAUACUCACUCAAGUAAUUGAAGAAAUUUCUAAAAAUUAACUCUAUAUUAAAUAAGUUUAAUAUUUCAGGAAGCAAUCGUUUUUGCGGAUAUUUGAGAUUUUAGUAACGAAGCUAACUCGCCUACACCCUUCAAUCAAUCCCAGCGGACGAGCUCCUCGCCUCCAUUCCACUUUGUCGAAGCAUAGAUGGUAUGUAUAAGGUAUAUGCAAUCCAAAAGGUAUGGUAGACGAAGCCUAGCAUCUUUAAGAACUUGAAAUUGUUUAUGAAGCAAACGAUAAAGGAAUUCCAUACUGGAUAGCUCCAGAGCUCAUGUAUGUUUGAUGAAAAUUGAAUAACGACUCCCAUCUUGUUUCUGCACUAUGAUAAGUUCAGAGUUUUCUUUCUUCUAAAUACUAAAGUAAAAUGCCUUUCUGGUUCUUGCUUUUCUAUUAUUUUGUUAGCUAGAUCCUAUAAUUAAUUCAUUUUCACAGUAUCUGCCAAACAAGUGCAUAUAUGGUCUUGUGGGGUGAUCUUGUUUGCCCUUUUAGCUGGUUCUUUGUCUUUUCAUGAUACAAAUCUCAUGGAAUUGUAUAAGAAAAUAAUUGGCAAGCCAAACUAUCCUUCUUCUUUCAACUGGAUUUUAUCUUUCUGAUUUGUUUACAGAAAAAGAUGACGAGAAAGUAGUUAUUUACACCCACAUACCCUGCCUAGGUCAAAAUUGGUUGCUGGAAGUGAAAAAGGACAGAUGGUCUCUGAAAAUGGAGGGAGCAAAGGAAGGAAAAAAAGGACUAAUUUCAAGUCUACCUGAGAUAUAUGAAUUUACGCUCUCCUUUCACCUGAUUGGGUAAGAAAAAUGAACAAAGAUAUAAGACCAGCUUUAAAUGACAUUGUGUUGUUUGGGCAUGGCAAGUUGAUCAAAAGCAGUAAGAAUGAUAACAACACUAUCAACAUUUAAAACUUGUGUUUUGACUUAUUUUGUUUACCUUGAAUUGAUUUACUUUUGGUAUUUGGUACAUAAUUAAGGUGGAAAGUAUUUAACUGUGCGUCUCUAAGUAAAGUUCUUUCUCAAAACUGGACAAGGGCUAGGACCAGAGUACCAAAAAGAUGAUUUUUCAAAUCCAUUAUUCAAAUUUUGCAAAUGGCUAUUUCGUAUUUUAGAUGGUAAAGGGUUGGCUGCUAUAUGGACAACUGCAAACAUAAUUAUGAGCAAACUAUACAUUUUUAUUGUUUUUUUAUAUGUACACAAGGGAGAAGAAGAGAGAUAGUUUAAUACUUCUGUAUGUGUAAAAGUUAAAAGAGAUUCUGACGGCUAAUUUCUUCUAACUGUCGUUUCACUUGUAUUGCGGUAAAAUUUUUGAAACUAUUAAAUUGGUAGUAAAUUUAAGAUGUUAUCUGGUUGAUUGCUUAUGUGUCAUUAUGGACUGUUUGUGUAUAUUCUUGUACUUAUAACAUGUUUAUAUUGGUAUAUUUAAUAUUAUUAUUUAAAAAUUAUUUUUAAAAUUUAUUUUAAAAUUAAAUAAAAUUAUAAAAAUAAAAAAUAAAAUAUUUUAAAUUUUGAAAUAAUUUUUAUAUUUUUUUAAAAGGUAAAUGGCGACAAAAUUUCUAAAAUUUUUAUUUUGGUUUUACUUAACCCUCAAAACCCAAAUUUGUGCGGUAAAACCCCCAAUACUCGUAUUCUGUGAGCAAUUUAACAUUUCUGUCCAUUUUAGGUGUUAAGUGUCAUGUUGGACUAGACACAGUGUACACGUGGCACAAUUUUAUUGGUUCACGUAAAAAAUUAUUUAAAAAAAUUAAAAAAUUAAAAAAAAUAAUUUGAAAUUUUAAAAAAAAUAUAUAAAUAAAAAAUAAAUUUUCUCUUUUUUUUCUUUUUUUCCUUUCUUUCUUUUUCUUUUUUUUUCUUUUCUUUCUUUUUCUGUUCAUCUCGCUCUAUCACUCUCUCUCUCUAUCACUCUCUCGAUCUCCUCGGCAACCACCUCUCUCUCGAUCUCUCACCAUCCCAAGCCACCUCAGCAGAUCUCCGACCACCCCAAGCCACCACCCAUUUUCCCUUCUCUCAUCAUCAUCAUCUCCAUAACCACUUUCUCUCUCCUCCACUUACUCUCAGACCCAUCUCUGCUCCCUUACGAACCUGAACCCGACCUGAACCAUGGCUAGCUCUAGCUUUUGAACCCACAACAACAACAAACAAUGUUCCAGAAGAGGAAGAAGAAGGUCCUGUAGAGUUUUUCCAAUCUACAGCUCUGAUUUUUGCCACUUCCGACGAACCUUCUUCUCUCCAAGUCGCCACCAGUGUUCUACUCACCGGUUCCAUUGCUAUCUUCCUCUCCCGCUCGCUCCGUCGCCAAGCCCGACACGCUAAACAACUUAAAUUUAGGUGAGAUGGAGUGAAGAAAUCAGUGAAGGAAGAAGCACUUGAAAGCUUAAAGGCAAUGAGAUCAGCUUCAGUGACUGAAGCUAAGUCACCACCUUCACCUAUUCGAGAGAGUGAUAGAGCGAAGAUAAACAGAAAAAGGAAGAAAAGAAAAGAAAAAGAAAGAAAGAAAAAAGAAAAUUUAUUUUUUAUUUAUAUUUUUUUAAUUUCAAAUUAAUUUUUUUUAAUUUUUUAAUUUUUUUAAAUAUUUUUUUUCAUGGACCAAUAAAAUUAUGUUACGUGUACACUGUGUCCAGUCCAACAUGGCACUUAACACCUAAAAUGGACGGAAAUGUCAAAUUGCUAACUGAAUACGAGUAUUGGAGGUUUUACCGCACAAAUUUAGGUUUUGGGGGUUAAGUGAAACUAAAAUAAAAGUUUUGGGAGUUUUUCCGCCAUUUACCCUUUUUUAAAUAAUAAUAUUAGGUGUAACAAUAUCAAUGUGACAUAUGUACAAAAGUGUACACAUAAGUAGUCUAUAUUGACAAUUAAUUGUAAAAAAUAAAUGAUACUUUAAAUUUGUUAGUAGUUUAUUAAUUUGAAGAGUUUUACCGUUAAAAUUUAAGUUUAGAGGAUUAAAUGUAAGUGGGGUGAUAGUUGAAAGGAUUAAGAUAAAAUUAAAUGAUAUUAUACUU
Long non-coding RNA from Cannabis sativa, 3097 nucleotides. RefSeq lists it as uncharacterized. The transcript has 5 exons. Lineage: Eukaryota; Viridiplantae; Streptophyta; Magnoliopsida; Rosales; Cannabaceae. The record is from RefSeq and is a predicted model, not a curated record.